RNAcentral lists this unclassified non-coding RNA (237 nucleotides) under Glomus sp. RNAcentral's name for it is "partial contains 5.8S ribosomal RNA and internal transcribed spacer 2". The stretch from base 1 to 71 matches the Rfam family "5.8S ribosomal RNA", at positions 84 to 154 of the family's 154-position model. The record is from RNAcentral. Lineage: Eukaryota; Fungi; Glomeromycota; Glomeromycetes; Glomerales; Glomeraceae.
GUGAAUCAUCAAAUUUUUGAACGCAAAUUGCACUCUCUGGUAUUCCGGAGAGUAUGCCUGUUUGAGGGUCAGUUUAAAUAAAAAUCGGGGGGGUGGCGGCCUUUCGUGGGGACGCACCGGAUUGGGGUCGUCUGGCCUUCGGUUAAGGGACCUAAAAUUUGGCAGGAUUUUUUUCGAACGUAUUUAAAGGAUUUUACGUACGUUUGCGAUAGAGAAUACUAGGGGGGGUCAUCCUCA